UACGGGGGGGGCAAGCGUUGUUCGGAAUUAUUGGGCGUAAAGGGCUUGUAGGCGGCUUACUAAGUCAUACGUGAAAUCCCCAGGCUCAACUUGGGAACUGCGUCUGAUACUGGAUGGCUUGAAUUCGGGAGAGGGAUGCAGAAUUCCAGGUGUAGCGGUGAAAUGCGUAGAUAUCUGGAGGAAUACCGGUGGCGAAGGCGGCAUCCUGGACCGAUAUUGACACUGAGGAGCGAAAGCCAGGGGAGCAAACGGG
RNAcentral lists this ribosomal RNA (253 nucleotides) under uncultured bacterium. RNAcentral's name for it is "partial 16S ribosomal RNA". It matches the Rfam family "Bacterial small subunit ribosomal RNA", at positions 524 to 776 of the family's 1533-position model. The record is from RNAcentral.